AGUGAACGCUGGCGGUAGGCCUAACACAUGCAAGUCGAACGGCAGCACAGUAAGAGCUUGCUCUUACGGGUGGCGAGUGGCGGACGGGUGAGGAAUACAUCGGAAUCUACUUUUUCGUGGGGGAUAACGUAGGGAAACUUACGCUAAUACCGCAUACGACCUACGGGUGAAAGCAGGGGAUCUUCGGACCUUGCGCGAUUGAAUGAGCCGAUGUCGGAUUAGCUAGUUGGCGGGGUAAAGGCCCACCAAGGCGACGAUCCGUAGCUGGCCUGAGAGGAUGAUCAGCCACACUGGACCUGAGACACGUCCCAGACCCCUACGGGAGGCAGCGGUGGGGAAUAUUGGACAAUGGGCGCAAGCCUGAUCCAGCCAUACCGCGUGGGUGAAGAAGGCCUUCGGGUUGUAAAGCCUUUUUGUUGGGAAAGAAAAGCAGCAGGUUAAUACCCCGCUGUUCUGACGGUACCCAAAGAAUAAGCACCGGCUACCUUCGU
This 491-nucleotide ribosomal RNA is filed under the name uncultured bacterium. Its description in RNAcentral is "partial 16S ribosomal RNA". It matches the Rfam family "Bacterial small subunit ribosomal RNA", at positions 29 to 506 of the family's 1533-position model. The record is from RNAcentral.